Molecule: ribosomal RNA, 433 nt
Filed under: uncultured bacterium
Lineage: Bacteria
Description: partial 16S ribosomal RNA
Rfam family: Bacterial small subunit ribosomal RNA
Source: RNAcentral
AACGAACGCUGGCGGCAUGCCUAACACAUGCAAGUCGAACGAGACCUUCGGGUCUAGUGGCGCACGGGUGCGUAACGCGUGGGAACCUGCCCUUAGGUUCGGAAUACCUCCCCGAAAGGGGUGCUAAUACCGGAUAAUGUCUUCGGACCAAAGAUUUAUCGCCUUUGGAUGGGCCCGCGUUGGAUUAGCUAGUUGGUAGGGUAAAAGCCUACCAAGGCGACGAUCCAUAGCUGGUCUGAGAGGAUGAUCAGCCACACUGGGACUGAGACACGGCCCAGACUCCUACGGGAGGCAGCAGUGGGGAAUAUUGGGCAAGGGGCGAAAGCCUGAUCCAGCAAUGCCGCGUGAGUGAUGAAGGCCUUAGGGUUGUAAAGCUCUUUUACCCGGGAUGAUAAUGACAGUACCGGGAGAAUAAGCACCGGCUAACUCCGUG